RNAcentral lists this ribosomal RNA (19 nucleotides) under Schizophyllum commune. Its description in RNAcentral is "partial 28S ribosomal RNA". Lineage: Eukaryota; Fungi; Basidiomycota; Agaricomycetes; Agaricales; Schizophyllaceae. The record is from RNAcentral.
UGACUGACCUCAAAUCAGG